ACUCCUACGGGAGGCAGCAGUGGGGAAUAUUGCACAAUGGAGGGAACUCUGAUGCAGCGACGCCGCGUGAGCGAUGAAGGCCUUCGGGUCGUAAAGCUCUGUCCUAUGGGACGAUAAUAACGGUACCAUAGGAGGAAGCCCCGGCUAACUACGUGCCAGCAGCCGCGGUAAU
RNAcentral lists this ribosomal RNA (172 nucleotides) under uncultured Clostridium sp. Its description in RNAcentral is "partial 16S ribosomal RNA". It matches the Rfam family "Bacterial small subunit ribosomal RNA", at positions 335 to 524 of the family's 1533-position model. The record is from RNAcentral. Lineage: Bacteria; Bacillati; Bacillota; Clostridia; Eubacteriales; Clostridiaceae.